AGUGAACGCUGGCGGCAGGCCUAAUACAUGCAAGUCGAACGGCAGCACAGUGGAGCUUGCUCCAUGGGUGGCGAGUGGCGGACGGGUGAGGAAUACAUGGGAAUCUGCCCAGUCGUGGGGAUAACGUAUGGAAACGUACGCUAAUACCGCAUGCGCCCUUCGGGGGAAAGUCGGGGACCGCAAGGCCUGACGCGAUUGGAUGAGCCCAUGUUCGAUUAGCUAGUUGGCGGGUAACGGCCCACCAAGGCGACGAUCGAUAGCUGGUCUGAGAGGAUGAUCAGCCACACUGGAACUGAGACACGGUCCAGACUCCUACGGGAGGCAGCAGUAGGGAAUAUUGGACAAUGGGGGCAACCCUGAUCCAGCCAUGCCGCGUGAGUGAAGAAGGCCCUCGGGUUGUAAAGCUCUUUUGUUGGGGAAGAAAGCAGUUGGUUAAUACCCGGAUUGUUCUGACGGUACCCAAGAAUAAGCACCGGCUAACUUCGUGCCAGCAGCCGCGGU
Molecule: ribosomal RNA, 501 nt
Filed under: uncultured bacterium
Lineage: Bacteria
Description: bacterial SSU rRNA
Rfam family: Bacterial small subunit ribosomal RNA
Source: RNAcentral